RNAcentral lists this non-coding RNA (26 nucleotides) under Cricetulus griseus (Chinese hamster). The record is from RNAcentral. Lineage: Eukaryota; Metazoa; Chordata; Mammalia; Rodentia; Cricetidae.
GUUGGUCUGGUGUCUGUGAUGACUUG